CCUACGGGGGGCAGCAGUGGGGAAUAUUGGACAAUGGGGGCAACCCUGAUCCAGCCAUGCCGCGUUUGUGAAGAAGGCCCUCGGGUUGUAAAGCACUUUCAGUGAGGAAGAACGCCUGGUGGUUAAUACCCAUCAGGAAAGACAUCACUCACAGAAGAAGCACCGGCUAACUCCGUGCCAGCAGCCGCGGUAAUACGGAGGGUGCGAGCGUUAAUCGGAAUUACUGGGCGUAAAGCGCGCGUAGGUGGCUUGAUAAGCCGGUUGUGAAAGUCCCGGGCUCAACCUGGGAACGGCAUCCGGAACUGUCAAGCUAGAGUGCAGGAGAGGAAGGUAGAAUUCCCGGUGUAGCGGUGAAAUGCGUAGAGAUCGGGAGGAAUACCAGUGGCGAAGGCGGCCUUCUGGACUGACACUGACACUGAGGUGCGAAAGCGUGGGUAGCAAACAGGAUUAGAUACCCUUGUAGUC
Molecule: ribosomal RNA, 465 nt
Filed under: Vreelandella stevensii
Lineage: Bacteria; Pseudomonadati; Pseudomonadota; Gammaproteobacteria; Oceanospirillales; Halomonadaceae
Description: partial 16S ribosomal RNA
Rfam family: Bacterial small subunit ribosomal RNA
Source: RNAcentral